Molecule: unclassified non-coding RNA, 52 nt
Filed under: Sulfolobus acidocaldarius DSM 639
Lineage: Archaea; Thermoproteati; Thermoproteota; Thermoprotei; Sulfolobales; Sulfolobaceae
Description: noncoding RNA Sac-sR19
Source: RNAcentral
AUGAUGAACGCGGAGUACGACUGAGGUAUGAUGUAGUGGUCCUCGGCUGAGA